CCGUUGAAGAGAAGUGAGUGGAGGGGUCACGGGUGUGUCUAAGAGAAGAGAGAGGGAGCUGACCGUUGGGAGCUGUCACUAUCCCUCUUGCUGAACGAGCCAUCCGCGGAUCUGCUUCCUCAUUGUUUAGUCUUUCCCUUGUACUAUCUUCUCAUUGUUUAUGCAUUCUUGUAUGUCUUUAAAUACCUUGUCAUGUGUAACAAAUCAAGUAAGGAAACUUAUUCUCCUUCUAUUCUCUUUGUCAUACUCUCACGGAAACUCUCUCCAUCUCUUACUCUUCUCUCUUAAUCUCUCUUUAAUCUUCUAAAACUCUCAAUAGGAGUUGGGAUGAAGAAGUUAUCCCACUUUUAAAUCAGGUGAUUCCAGAGUCCCAGUUUGGGAAUAGCACAGCUUCAUCGUCGUUCCAGUCAAACCAGGAUGAAUCACUUUGUGAGAAGCUUGAUUUGGAUACAUUUAGUGGUGUAGAAUCACCAGGAAGUUGAAUAAAACUCAUAGGAGUUGGGAUGAAGAAGUUAUCCCACUUUCAAAUCAGGUGAUUCCAGUUUCCCAGUUUGGGAAUAGCACAGCUUCAUCGUCGUUCCAGUCAAACCAGGAUGAAUCACUUUGUGAGAAGCUUGAUUUGGAUACAUUUAGUGGUGUAGAAUCACCAGGAAGUUGAAUAAAUCUCAUAGGAGUUGGGAUGAAGAAGUUAUCAAGUUGAGAACGCAAGGACUUACAGAUGAGGACGGUGUGGUAUUGUGGAAAGGGAAAGGAAAUGUGUUUCAAUCUUCAUUUGAUACGAACCAAACUUGGCAGCUAACGCGUGUGCAGCAAGCAACGGUUCAGUGGUAUAAGGGUCUCUUGUUCUCUGGAUCAACUCCCAAAUACUCUGUCAUGUCUUGGAUUGCAGUACACAACCAUUUGGCCACAUGAGACCGACUGCUGCAGUGGAACGCUCAAGCGAAUGCUCAGUGUAUCCUCUGCAAUUCUGCAGUUGAAACCCAGAACCACCUAUUCAUCAGCUGUCCCUAUGCAGAGGCUAUCUGGAGAAACCUCACGAGGAAACUACUUGGUCGGAGCUACUCAUAUACAUGGAGUCAAGUUCUUGAUCUCAUAUCGACAAAUCAUGUCACAGGUGUGAAAAAAAUCCUCCUUAGAUAUAUAUGUGUUCCAAGUCUCAGUGCAUACUAUUUGGCUUGAGAGAAAUGGUAGAAGACAUGGCACGGUCCAGCGACUUCCAAGCCUUCUUAUCAAGUUCAUCGACAAGCAAACAAGAAACCGAAUCAGCUCUCUACGGGGACGACAAAGAACCUCUUUCAACCAAGCUAUGGUGGUUUGGUUUUCGUCUAGAGAUUAGGCGAGCACUAAUCACUGUUAUUGUUUUUAAAAAAUUCAAUCACACAAUUAGUCUAAAGCUGCAUUAGUUUGUACAAAAGCUUUUUUUUAUUCGAAUAAAUUUAACAUUUUUUCAAAAAAAAAAAAGAGAGGGUAAAAGUGAUUAGUGUAAACAUGAAAAGUGGUACUAUGAAUGUGGUAUUUGUGGCAAUUUCCUAAACCAAAAUUUUGAAUACAAUUUUUAAUAAAAUAAUUUUAAAUUUCUUUUAAUUUUCAAAAUUAUAUAAGAUAAUAAAAAUGUUUUAUAAUUUUUCAAAAUAUAAUAAGUUCAUAAAAACAUUUUUUUAAAAUAAAAAUAAAAAAGGUUUUAAAUAUUCAAAAAAAAAACAAAAUACUGAUCUAAAUUCUUAACAUAACAAUCUAAACUAACAAAUCAUAUAUAAAACUAACAAAAUCGAAACUAAUAAAUCAUAAACUUAGAAAUCCUGGGAGUUGUAACUAUCCGAAAAUAAAAUUCUGAUAUUAUGAAGUUGAAUAAAUCUCAUAGGAGUUGGGAUGAAGAAGUUAUCCCAUUUUCAAAUCAGGUGAUUCCAGUUUCCCAGUUUGGGAAUAGCACAACUUCUUCGUCGUUCCAAUCAAACAAGGAUGAAUCACUUUGUGAGAAGAUUUAUUUGGAUACAUAAAGUGGUGGAGAAUCACCAGGAAUUUGAAUAAAUCUCAUAGGAGUUGGGAUGAAGAAGUUAUCCCACUUUCAAAUCAGGUGAUUCGAGUUUCCCAGUUUGGGAAUAGCACAGCUUCUUCGUCGUUCCAAUCAAACCAGGAUGAAUAACUUUGUGAGAAGCUUGAUUUGGAUACAUAAAGUGGUGGAGAAUCACCAGGAAGUUGAAUAAAUCUCAUAGGAGUAGGGAUGAAGAAGUUAUCACACUUUCAAAUCAGGUGAUUCCAGUUUCCCAGUUUGGGAAUAGCACAGCUUCUUCGUCGUUCCAAUCAAACCAGGAUGAAUCACUUUGUGAGAAGCUUGUCGUACGACGAGGGAGGUGAAGAGUACCUCUUCAAGAUCGUCAUCAUCGGAGACUCCGCCGUCGGCAAGUCCAAUCUCCUCACCCGCUGAAUCCAAGGCUCAACUUCUUCUUCUCCGUCGUCUUCUAUCGAUGGACUGAAUUUCCAAAACCAUGGCAAAAAGAAAAAAGAACUAUAAGGCAACUUGACUUCAGAGCCAUGUGUAUCACGAGACUUCAGAGCCAUGUGUGGAAGCUAAAGGUCCCGAGCAAGAUGAAACAUUUCUUGUGGCAGGCUAUCUCGGGCUGCGUGGCGACGGCAGAGAGGCUCAUGUAUAGACACCUGGGCACCGAUAGGAGUUGUCCUAGAUGUGCUGGCCCAGUGGAGUCGAUUAAUCAUCUUCUUUUUGAAUGCCCACCAGCUCUUCAGGUUUGGGCUUUAUCGGACUAUCCGUCCACUCCGGGUUAUUUCCCGAGUACAUCCAUAUAUCAAAACAUGAACUUCCUUUUUGGAAGAGAAAAUAGGUGGCUCCUCUGAGACCACAAUUCGAUACCUUCCCAUGGAUCUGUUAGUACAUUUGGAAGCCGAGGAACGACAAACUCUUCAAUGGGAAAGACGUAUCCCCAUUGACACCCUCCAACAUGCGUCUCUUGAGGUGGAAUGUUGGAGGAAGGCUAACGAAAAGGAGGAAGCAAAGGAGGAUCAUGAUGAUCCCCCUACUACAGAGAUUGAGACAGUGCCCCCUUGGAUACCUCGAAUCCCUACUUGUCAAAUUGAUGCAUCAUGGAUCAAUAAUGGCAGUGUCAGUGGCUUAGGAUGGAGUCUUAAGGAUCAAAUGGGCUUAGAAUACUUCGGAUUACGGGCGUGUAACAUGAGCCUCUCAGCUUUGCAUGUUGAAUCAGGUGAUUCCUGUUUCCCCGUUUGAAAAUAGCACAAAUUCUCCGUCGUUCCAACCAAACCAGGAUGAAUAUCUUUGUAAGAAUCUUGAUUUGGAUACAUAAAGUGGUGGAGAAUCACCAGGAAGUUUAAUAAAUCUCAUAGGAGUUGGGAUGAAGAAUUUAUCCCACUUUCAAAUCAGGUGAUUCCAGUUUCCCAGUUUGGGAAUAGCACAGCUUCUUCGUCGUUCCAAUCAAACCAGGAUGAAUCACUUUGUAAGAAGCCUGAUUUGGAUACAUAAAGUUGUGGAGAAUCACCAGGAAGUUGAAUAAAUCUCAUAGGAGUUGGCAAGAAGAAAUUAUCCCACUUUCAAAUCAGGUGAUUCCAGUUUCCCAGUUUGGGAAUAGCACAGCUUCUUCGUCGUUCCAAUCAAACCAGGAUGAAUCACUUUGUAAGAAGCUUGAUUUGGAUACAUAAAGUGGAGGAGAAUCACGAGGAAGUUGAAUAAAUCUCAUAGGAGUUGGCAUGAAGAAGUUAUCCCACUUUCAAAUCAGGUGAUUCCAGUUUCCCAGUUUGGGAAUAGCACAGCUUCUUCGUUGUUCCAAUCAAACCAGGAUGAAUCACUUUGUGAGAAGCUUGACUUGGAUACAUAAAGUGGUGGAGAAUCACCAGGAAGUUGAAUAAAUCUCAUAGGAGUUGGCAUGAAGAAGUUAUCCCACUUUCAAAUCAGGUGAUUCCAGUUUCCCAGUUUGGGAAUAGAACAGCUUCUUCGUCGUUCCAAUCAAACCAGGAUGAAUCUCUUUGUAAGAAGCUUGAUUUGGAUACAUAAAGUGGUGGAG
RNAcentral lists this long non-coding RNA (4028 nucleotides) under Brassica napus (rape). Its description in RNAcentral is "long non-coding RNA (BNAP_LNC003937)". The record is from RNAcentral. Lineage: Eukaryota; Viridiplantae; Streptophyta; Magnoliopsida; Brassicales; Brassicaceae.